Non-coding RNA from Pseudonaja textilis, 818 nucleotides. Lineage: Eukaryota; Metazoa; Chordata; Lepidosauria; Squamata; Elapidae. The record is from RefSeq and is a predicted model, not a curated record.
CAGUCACAUUCUCCACUGAAGGAUUUUCAUGGACAGAAGAUUUGGUAGCUUAGUUACAAUCUUUGUAAGAUAAGUGUGGAAUGUACUUCUGGUUUUAAGAUGCCCUGCUCCUUCAGAUUCCCCCCUCCACACACACACACUUGCUUAUGGCAACUCUGAAACAGGCAUAGGAAUGCUUUACAAGUUGACACUUUGUUCAUUAGACGGAACUGACUGUUUCUUUUUCAGGGAUGUUAAAUGUGGCAGGUUAUUCUGCGUAGAUAAUUCAACUGAAGAGAACUCGUGCAAAUUUUACUUUUCAAACGAAAAUGCCAAUUUAGGAAUGGUUGAACCUGGAACAAAGUGUGGAGAAGGAAUGGUCUGUGGCUUCGGGCAGUGUAUUACCCUAGAAACAGCUUUUGGACCAACCAGUAACUUCACUCAAAUGUGAUUUUGGAGAUCCACUUUCCAGAAAGCUUGACUUCCCUCAAAAGACCCAUCUCUCUUCAUCAUACUAGUAAAUCUUUCUUAACUUCUAGAUGGCAUCUAAAAUCUGCAAUUUUUCUUCUCCAUGUUUAAUCUGACUACUUUUUGCUGUAAUUAAACUCUUUCCCAGCCACAAGGCUCCGUGAGCAUCUACAACACCAAAGAUAUAUGUGCUGUCAAGAAAAAAACAUUGGCUAUUUUACUUUUGCCAAUUGCAAAACACAUUUUAAUGCAACAAGUUUUACUUUUGGAGCUGGCAUCUUCAAAGGCAAUGAAUUCUGUUCCAAAAUUUUCUUCCUGACAAUCAAAGAUGUAGCUGCUUCUAUCAAUAAACAAAUCUAAUUCUGCAUUUA